ACAGCUUCAAACUGUGUCUUCGAACCUGUGUCACAGAAAGGGUGGAAGAUUUUGGGGUGAGAACAAACCACACGUUCUCAGUAGGGAAUGGGAAUGCUGUAAAAGUAAUGAUUAACAUGCAAAUAAUUAACUUUGCUUAAUAAACCAUCUUUGUCAAACCCUUUGAAAUACUUUUUAAUAUUACUUUAGAUAAAUAAUUACUUUCUUUAAAUUUCUAAACCCAAAACAGAUCUCAAUCACAAAAUUUGUCAUAUUAAAUAUCUUUCAGCCACAUAAUUGAUUCUCAGUCACAACAAACAGUUAUUAAUCAUCUCUAUACAUUCACAGACUACUAGCACAAGUAAGAAACUCAAUUCAACACACAAACAAAUCAGAAUAGAACAAACAACACAAUCACAGAGAAGUAAUACAAGCAAACACAACCAAAUGCAAAUGCACAACCACUAUGAUGCAUGUCUGUCCUAAGCAAGCCAUGAGCUCACGUAUCGGUUUAUACCCUGCAGCCCGACAUUACCUAGGAAUAAGUCCCAGAUAUGGCUUCCCUUUGUGUCCUUAGUGCAUAUGUGUCGGUGGUAAGAAUACCAUUCCUUCGUGACUACCGGCAGUCGGCGCAAAGGCCGACCCCAUAAUAUACGCACAAGGGGAAUCAGUGAUCCUCAGUUCGUGGGCAUCCCCGAGAUCAACAUACAACAACAAACACGAUCCUCAGUUCGUGGGUUAUACCCGAGAUCAAUACACAACCAUACAAUGAUCCUCAGUUCGUGGGUCAUACCCGAGAUCAACAUAUAACAGUUAGUGGGUUAUUCUCGUAAUCAGUGAUUAUCAAUUCGUAGGUUUUUCCACAUUUAAAACAAAUAACAAUUUAUAGGUUUCCCCGAGAUCAAUGAUCAUUCAGUUCGUGGGUACUUCUCGAAUUUAACUAAUUAUCAAUUCAUGGGUUUUCCCAUCUGUUACCCUGUUUCUCAUUAUCCUUCCUAAAUCUUAAUAAUUCGUAUAUCAGUUCUCCAUUCUCUAUUUCCCUUUGAAACCUUAACAUAUUUUCAAAAGACCUUUCUUAACUUCCUCAGGAAUUCGUUCCCAAAAAUCUCAACUACCAAAUCACUUCAUAAUCUAUACCUUUGAAAUCUUGGAUCAAAUCAUUUUCAAGCAUAUAGGUCUACCCUUAAUACUCUUAGAACAAUAUUCACUUUUCAAUUUUAUAAACAAUCGUUAACCAUUAUCAAAACAAGAUCUAAAAGAUAAGUCUUUUCAUAUUCAAAUCAAAUUUAUAACCAAAUCCUUUUUCUUGAAUAAAUCAAGUUCGAAAUAUAAUUUAUUCUGUUCUUAAUAAGUCAAGUAAUACACUUUCCCAAAUCCAAAACAUUUCAAACAAAACCUCAAUUUUAUAGAAAUUUUGACAGCACCUCCCCUAAAACUUGGACUUAACCACCCUUACGGGUUCCCUCUUUCUCAACAUUUCACCCGCCAUUUACCAGCAAUUAUCACAUCAACAGAUUCUCAAUGGUCAUCUCAUCAUAAAUUAGUUUAAGGACUAACAUCCUUUCAUCAAAUACAAUCAGAAUUUUCCAUCAAGCAUUCUUGAAAAUUAGCCUAGUCCAACGUCAAAAAAAUUAUGAAUAAUUUCCCAAAAAUCAGUCUUUAACCUCAUGCAAUAUCGUUCACUAUCAAAUUACUAGUUCGUUUUCAAAACUACUAUUUUACCUUAAAAUUCAAGUUUCAAGAAAAUUGAUUUAGUAAUCAAAUGAACCAUUCCAAAGCUACCAACUUGACAUAAUCAACUAAAAUCGGAAUUUCCAACAAUUCUAAAAUAAUCAGAAAACCAAUAAUAAUCACAGCCUCAAACCAAAGUAAAUCUCAUCAGUUAAUUACUCACGACAACGAAGCCAAUCAAUAUCACAGCCAUAACCCAAACGCAAUUCACAUCCGCAUCCAAUUUCAAUCAUAACUCAGAGCAAUCACCACAACUAACUUUUCUCAAAUACAUUUCAUUCAAUAAUUAACUCAUCAUAAUUCAAUUUAAUAAGUAACAUUACCAUUCAAAGCCACAUUUCAACCAAUUUCAACUCGUCACAAGUCUAUUUCACAGCCAUUCCAUUAUAUUAAAAUUCCAAUUCAAUAUCAAACAAUUCAAAAUAGUUCAUCCAAGAUCAGAAUCUCAGCCAAUUCAUCACAAAAAUCAAUAAUUCAAAGUACAAUUCACAAUCGCAUUUAAUUUUCACUUAUAAUUUAGAGUCAUCACAAUCGCAUCCAAUUCAAAUUCAUAAUUCAGAAUAAUCACAACAGUAUCCAAUUCUAGUCAUAAUUCACAAUAAUCACAACAGCUAACUGUUCUCAAACACCUUUCAAGAAAUUCACAUCAAUUAAUCAAUUCUUAACCAUUGUUAACUAUUUGUAAUUAUCCAAAUAACUUUGUAGGCAUUCUAAAUUAAAAACAUUUAACUUUAAAAAUAAAUCCCCUAACUCAAUGUCAAAACUCACGAAAAUCGCCAAACACAGCAGCUUCGUUAGCAAUUCCAACACUCGUUUUGUUUCUUGGGCAGCAACUAAAGUGGUUCUGGGCAGCUCCAACAUUGGUUCCCAGUGGCAGAGGGCUCCGGUAACUACGAAACCUGAAGCAGAGGCUGAACAGAGCAGCACAGAGUAGUAUAGAGUAAGAGCAGCAGCAGUUUCUUCUGUCAAUGGCUCCUUCCCUAGUAGGCUUCAAUGGUGACAGUGGCAGCGUCCUCCUCCAAACUUGAUGGUGGCAGAACAACGACUCUGAUGGCGGUUCAUGACUCACCAACGAACCUGACAGCGACGGAGAUCCUUUAUCCCUCUCCUCUGCGUGUGUUCUGCAAUGGUGACAGCUUAGACAGUAGCGGCGGCAUCAACCCAGCAGCAGUGACGGCCUAGCAGUUCAGCGUUGAUGGAAGCACGAAGGUGAUGCAGCAGAGGCUCCCUCCUCCACUGGCUCUCACGCAAUCCUUCCUUCUUCCCUGAACAGCGUCGAUGGCAUCAAUGGCGACGACGGUGGUAGGACGCGGUGGUGGCAAGCUUCUCCCUCCUUCUCUGGUGUGCGACAGCCCAGCAGCACGGUGACAGAACGACAACGCGACAUGGAGGAUUGUGUUCCUCUCUCGGGCUCCUUCUCUCUCUUCGGGUUCUUCUCAAGCAGCGGCGGUGGCUUCCAUCGACGGCACCUGGGUACGACGGUGACGGCGAUGGCUACGCUUCUUGCGAUGAGCAAGCUCUCUCUUCUCUACCCUUCAUGCUUGACGGCAAUGACUAAGACUCCCUUCGAAGCAGCGAUGACAGCGGCCUCGUGGUAGCAGAGUGCGACGAUAGUGAAGCUUCAUCUCCCUCCUCCGCGUCACUCUCCUCUCCUGGCAACAGGAACAGCGACGGCACUCCUUUUCGGCACCGCACCGUCCCUCUUCUCCGAUUCCCUUCCCCUAGUUCACCCCUAACUCCUCACUCUCCCUCUCAGAUGUUCUGUUUCUGAAGCAUGUAUUACGUUGGAGGGGGUUUGGUGGCUGGGAUAAGAAAUUAGGGUUAGGAUUUCUGGGAUUUGGGAAUUAGGGUUUCUGAU
This 3568-nucleotide long non-coding RNA is filed under the name Arachis ipaensis. RNAcentral describes it as "long non-coding RNA (AIPA_LNC002250)". The record is from RNAcentral. Lineage: Eukaryota; Viridiplantae; Streptophyta; Magnoliopsida; Fabales; Fabaceae.